RNAcentral lists this ribosomal RNA (594 nucleotides) under unidentified nematode. Its description in RNAcentral is "SSU rRNA". It matches the Rfam family "Eukaryotic small subunit ribosomal RNA", at positions 1024 to 1643 of the family's 1831-position model. Lineage: Eukaryota; Metazoa; Nematoda. The record is from RNAcentral.
UUCUGACCGUAAACGAUGCCAACUAGCGAUCCGCCGGUGGAUUCCUUGCCCUGGUGGGGAGCUUCCCGGAAACGAAAGUCUUCCGGUUCCGGGGGAAGUAUGGUUGCAAAGCUGAAACUUAAAGGAAUUGACGGAAGGGCACCACCAGGAGUGGAGCCUGCGGCUUAAUUUGACUCAACACGGGGAAACUCACCCGGCCCGGACACCGUAAGGAUUGACAGAUUGACAGCUCUUUCAUGAUUCGGUGGAUGGUGGUGCAUGGCCGUUCUUAGUUCGUGGAGCGAUUUGUCUGGUUUAUUCCGAUAACGAGCGAGACUCUAGCCUACUAACUAGUACACACAUUGCCUCACUGUGUGUGCAACUUCUUAGAGGGAUUUUCGGUGUACAGCCGCACGAAAUUGAGCAAUAACAGGUCUGUGAUGCCCUUAGAUGUCCGGGGCUGCACGCGCGCUACACUGGCAAAAUCAGCGUGCUUGUCCUUGCCCGAAAGGGGUUGGUAAACCCUUGAAAAUUUGCCGUGAUUGGGAUCGGAAAUUGCAAUUAUUUUCCGUGAACGAGGAAUUCCAAGUAAGUGCGAGUCAUCAACUCGCGUUG